GAGGUCGCAGCACGCCGCUACCUGCAAGCCCGAAAGCUGAAAGCAGCUCUAGUGUGGCGCGUAGUCUUACUGAAUGCAGCUCUAGUGUGGCGCGUACUAUUUUACUUCAUCGCUGACGUUGAGUGAGAGGUGACCAAGCUCAGAUGCUGAGAUUAAGGCGGCCGGGCGAAACUCGCGACACCCUGCGAUUCCCGCUUAGCCAGCUGCGUAAAGUUGCCUACGCCAAGCGGGUGGCGUCCUGCUCGGCCACCUGGCGGUGGGCGUGGAGUUGACAGGCAGGCAGUGGGGGUCACGCCCGCAUGAAAGGCCAGAUCACCUGCAGGUCGCCAAGUUGCCGGGAAUCCCCCGCUCCGAGCAGUGUCAUGCCCAUCACAAAUAACCCUAUCGCAGCCGGGAGGAAGGCUCCCCUGUUCCUUUUUGCUGACGUGUCAUUUCUAAGUACUUUCUCCUACUCCAUAAAGACUUCAA
Molecule: small RNA, 468 nt
Filed under: Pan troglodytes (chimpanzee)
Lineage: Eukaryota; Metazoa; Chordata; Mammalia; Primates; Hominidae
Description: processed transcript
Source: RNAcentral